UACAGAGGGUGCAAGCGUUGUUCGGAAUUAUUGGGCGUAAAGGGCGCGUAGGCGGCGCAUCAAGUCAGGCGUGAAAGCCCUGGGCUCAACCCGGGAAUUGCGCUUGAGACUGGUGUGCUUGAGUACGGGAGAGGAUAGUGGAAUUCCCAGUGUAGAGGUGAAAUUCGUAGAUAUUGGGAAGAACACCAGUGGCGAAGGCGGCUAUCUGGACCGUAACUGACGCUGAGGCGCGAAAGCGUGGGGAGCAAACAGG
This 253-nucleotide ribosomal RNA is filed under the name uncultured bacterium. Its description in RNAcentral is "partial 16S ribosomal RNA". It matches the Rfam family "Bacterial small subunit ribosomal RNA", at positions 524 to 776 of the family's 1533-position model. The record is from RNAcentral.